GAUGAACGCUGACCGAAUGCUUAACACAUGCAAGUCUUUGGCGAAGCUGUGCUUGCACAGCCUAGCCAAGGCGGACGGGUGAGUAACGCGUAAGGAACUUGCCCUGCAGUCAGGGAUAACAGACGGAAACGACUGAUAAGACCUGGUAAAGUCAGGCGGACUCAUGUCCAGCCUGAUGAAAAGAGAUGCUGCAGGAGAGCCUUGCGUCCUAUUAGCUUGUUGGUGGGGUAACGGCCCACCAAGGCGAUGAUAGGUAGCCGGCCUGAGAGGGUGGACGGCCACAAGGGGACUGAGAUACGGCCCUUACUCCUACGGGAGGCAGCAGUGGGGAAUAGUGGACAAUGGGGGCAACCCUGAUCCAGCAAUUCUGUGUGCACGAUGAAGGUUUUCGGAUUGUAAAGUGCUUUCAGCAGGGAAGAAAAAAAUGACGGUACCUGCAGAAGAAGCGACGGCUAAAUACGUG
Molecule: ribosomal RNA, 463 nt
Filed under: uncultured bacterium
Lineage: Bacteria
Description: partial 16S ribosomal RNA
Rfam family: Bacterial small subunit ribosomal RNA
Source: RNAcentral